UGGGCAACCUGCCCCUAGCUCUGGGAUAACUGCGGGAAACUGUAGCUAAUACCGGAUGUGACACGAGACUGCAUGGUCUUCGUGUGGAAAGAUUUAUCGGCUAGGGAUGGGCCCGCGGUCUAUCAGCUUGUUGGUGGGUAAUGGCUCACCGAGGCGACGACGGAUAACCGGCCUGAGAGGGCGACCGGUCACACUGGGACUGAGACACGGCCCAGACCUCCGUACGGGA
Molecule: ribosomal RNA, 229 nt
Filed under: uncultured bacterium
Lineage: Bacteria
Description: partial 16S ribosomal RNA
Rfam family: Bacterial small subunit ribosomal RNA
Source: RNAcentral